GUAAAUUUGAUAUCGUCGCCAUAGCUUCGUAGGUCGACAAAGAAUUAACAGCCUCGCCAUCGUGCGGGGCUUU
Molecule: small RNA, 73 nt
Filed under: Enterobacter mori
Lineage: Bacteria; Pseudomonadati; Pseudomonadota; Gammaproteobacteria; Enterobacterales; Enterobacteriaceae
Description: isrJ Hfq binding RNA
Rfam family: isrJ Hfq binding RNA
Source: RNAcentral